AAAAAAAAGAAAAAAGUUGCUAUGGCAAACAAGAAUCAUAAGAAGAGAAGUUGGCCCCAAUUCCAAAUAUCAUAUUGUGAGGUCUACUUUUUGAGUAGGAGAGAGAACAAGUGAAGAAGCCUUUGUUUUGUUGCCCCCAAUUCACAAAGCUUUCAUCUUCAUCACCCUCAAACCCUCAUCACACACACACUCUCUCUCCACGAUUAAUCUCUGCGAUUGAUUGGUUUCACAUCCAACAUUUCGCCACAAUUUCGCAAUCAGGAGACGAUAACUUUACAUGAUUUGACUCUGUUUCCUCUGCUAUCUCUGUAACUCGGGUAACUAUGGAGGGAUCGGGGCGUGGUGGGAGCAGCGUGGAAUCAUUUUUACGCAAUUAUAAGCUUGGGAAAACGCUUGGUAUCGGUUCAUUCGGAAAAGUCAAAAUUGCAGAGCAUACGUUGACCGGACACAAAGUUGCUAUAAAGAUUCUAAACCGUCGCAAGAUCAAAAACAUGGAAAUGGAAGAAAAAGUAAGAAGAGAGAUCAAGAUAUUGAGAUUGUUUAUGCAUCCACAUAUUAUCCGUCUAUACGAGGUUGUAGAGACACCAUCAGAUAUUUACGUUGUUAUGGAAUACGUGAAAUCUGGCGAGCUGUUCGAUUACAUCGUGGAAAAGGGAAGAUUGCACGAGGAUGAAGCUCGCAACUUUUUUCAGCAGAUAAUUUCCGGUGUGGAGUAUUGCCACCGGAAUAUGGUGGUACACAGAGAUCUUAAACCUGAGAAUCUGUUAUUAGAUGCCAAAUGCAAUGUCAAAAUCGCCGAUUUUGGUUUGAGUAAUAUCAUGCGUGACGGUCAUUUUCUAAAAACAAGUUGCGGGAGUCCAAAUUAUGCAGCUCCAGAGGUUAUAUCUGGGAAACUGUAUGCUGGACCCGAGGUUGAUGUAUGGAGCUGUGGUGUGAUCUUGUACGCACUUCUCUGUGGGACCCUUCCUUUUGACGAUGAAAAUAUUCCGAAUUUGUUUAAGAAAAUUAAGGGUGGAAUAUAUACCCUUCCUAGCCAUUUAUCACCCGGCGCUAGAGAUUUGAUCCCGAGGUUGCUUGUGGUUGACCCGAUGAAACGUAUGACGAUUCCCGAGAUCCGUGCGCACCUAUGGUUCCAAGCCCACCUGCCCUGCUACUUAGCCGUCUCUCCACCCGAUUCUACUCAGCAAGUGAAAAAGACUGAUGAAGAUAUUCUUACAGAGGUGAUUAAGAUGGGGUUUGACAGGGAUGCACUUGUUGAGUCACUUCGCAACCGAGUGCAGAAUGAGGGUACCGUUGCAUAUUACUUGCUACUGGACCAUAGGUUGCGUAACUCCAAUAGUUAUCUUGGAGCCGAGUUCCAGAAACCUGUGGAGGGGUACAACCGUAAUUAUCCAAACGAGGCUGCCACAUCACCUAUCGCGCAACGCCCACCUGGAUUCAUGGAAUAUCAAGGAAUAAAUACGAGCCAGGUCGAGAGGAAAUGGGCUCUCGGGCUUCAGUUGGUUGGUUAAUGGUAUAAGUAUUCAUGGCUCAUUUCAACAGUCGCGGGCCCAUCCUCGGGAGAUAAUGACAGAAGUUUUAAAGGCCUUACAAGAACUAAACGUGUGCUGGAAGAAAAUAGGACACUACAACAUGAAAUGCAGGUGGGAUCCGAACCAUAAAGACGGCCCAAUAAACAACAAUGGCAUGCAGAGUAGUCAUUACUUUGGAGAUGAGUCAACCAUAGUCAAUGCUGACGUCACCUCAACAUCACCCAAUGUUGUCAAAUUUGAAGUCCAGCUUUAUAAAACCCGUGAGGAGAAGUAUCUGCUUGAUCUACAGAGGGUUAACGGGCCGCAAUUUCUGUUUCUGGAACUCUGUGCUGCAUUUCUCGCCCAGCUUCGUGUCCUCUAGAAGAUUCUAGAAUGCGCGUGGUAACCUGAAAUGAAGGACGGCUUUCUCCGGGGUGCUUGUGAAGGAAAGCUAGGAUGUAUAUACCAAAGUUCUCGCUUUGGGUUCUUUGUUAUAAUCUGUUGUUAGCAAAUGUUGUGAGCUGAUCGGGUUUUGUAACUCAUUAGGAGUAUGGGUUUACGCCUCGUUUUUUUUAACCCGGAUAUGUUGUUAGUUGUUUUGUUUUAUAAGUUUUAACCCUUAGCUUGUUUUGGUUCAGAAUAAGAGUAUGUUGUAACUUACAGCCAUCUAUGGAUUGGCUCUGAAGAUGUGAAGAACAUUAAUAAGAAAGAGAACCACAACUUCAACUAAA
RNA transcript from Helianthus annuus (common sunflower), 2242 nucleotides. It is a transcript of the gene named SNF1-related protein kinase catalytic subunit alpha KIN10, with no coding region annotated. Lineage: Eukaryota; Viridiplantae; Streptophyta; Magnoliopsida; Asterales; Asteraceae. The record is from RefSeq and is a predicted model, not a curated record. The transcript has 11 exons.